GGGUGAGGGGGGGGGGGGAGAAGGUAUAUUUAUGAAAGAGUGGAUUGGCAGUAAGGGUAACGGUAGAAGGUAUAUUGUAUUAUGAAAGAGUUAUGUAUUUGACGAUACGAUUGUUUCAUUAGAAUAAAAUUUGCAAUUAAUCAAUUAAAAGAAAAAUUAUUAAAUAUCCUUGAUAUAAUUUUCGAUUAAAAAUUAGUUAGAACCAUAUUUAUUUUGAUUGUUUACCCUUUUUAAAAGGAAGAAAAGUGUCAUUAAAUAUCGUAAUAAUAAAGAAGUAAAGCCAAUUAUAUUCAUAAAGGCAAAAAAUGUGGAAACUGUUGUAAAUUUUUACCAUGAAUUAAAAAAAACGAAACUAAUUUGAUAUUUGCUCUGUUGUAGACUCUAAUAUUGUUUUGAAUGUAAAAUUGUAAAAGUACAUUCUGUUUCGCAAACCCUUGUAAUACAAACUGCUUAAUGUUCCUCGUUAAUUAAUGUAAUCGUUUCAGAGAAAAUGCGCCAGCUAUGAGGAAUUAAAAUCCGCCAAAAAUUACUUUUUAAUGGAUUUUAACGAAGUUCCUGACUUUGACCCUAUAGAAGCUUACUCUAUGUCUAUAGAUGAAUCUACUUCGCGUUCACUUAACCUAACUCCUACCAACUUACAGGAAGGAGCAUAUAAUGAGUCUACAAACCCAACCGGAGUAAUUGAUCUCGGUUCUAUAAAGACGGCUGGAUUGAGCUUAACUCCGGUAUGUCCUCCGACCAACCUUUACAUCACGGAGCCGAACUUGUCCGAGUACUUCUCAACCCAUCCUCAGCAGUACGAUCAAACGCAGUAUUUAAACCUACCAGAGGAGAGGGUUCGAAGCUCUGUGCUCAGUCCUAAUUCCUCUCCUUCCAUUAGUCCUCAGAAAUCCCCAAACCCGUCCUACUCCAGGAUGCAAUAUCCACCGGAGUAUCAAUACUACCCGGAGUCAGGACGCGUCCCAGCUCUGCCUCCGACCUACCAGGAGUACCUACAUGAGAAGCAGGUUGGGCAAUCGCAUUUUCUUAGACAGGAUCCGUCCCAAGGAUUUCUCCAUCCAGGUCAGGUUCAGGCUCCUCUUCAGAAUAUGCUCCUGGUGCCUGGUUCCACUCAGAGUUCGGCUCCAAAAUUUAGUAAGGUUGUAUCCGGGGAUAAAACUAUUGUUUACUCCCAGUCGUUACCCCCACCUGGAUAUCCUCCCCCGAAUUCUCCCCCUGGACCCUCCUCCUCCUACAUAUCUGUAUCUCCGGGUUCAACUCCAAAUAUUUCUCCGAACUCUAGUUUCUCCUUAUCUCCGUCUCCGAGUAAGAAAACUGGCGGAACCUCCCCUAAACCCUCUCCGAAAAAGGGUCAGCAUGAGGUUCUGAUUAAUCAAGAGUUUGCGGAUAUUCCUGGAGUAAACCUGAGAAAAGGAAACGUAGAAAUCAACAUUUACGUCGCUAGUCUAGUACCCUACGCUCAUCCUGGAUUCCAGAAUAUUGAUAUGUACGCAGAACGUUGCUUAGCCUGCGUAGUGCGUAAACUUAAAAACAAUCUUCGUGGCUUGCAAGUUCUGUACAGGUCCGUGAAAGGUGAUGAAGGAGAUCAAGGUUGUGUAAUCAUUCCUAGAAGUAAAGACUCCAGGAUCACAAUAACUAGACAGGGUGGAGUAGGAGCAGCAUCGAAACGUAUUCAUCCUCAUCUUGCCCUGGUUCAGAUAUUUUAUAAUCCACAGGCGCAAGCUUUGAAUUACCUCGAACCAGUGGCGUCCUGCACAAGUCCUUUUGUUCAAGGAUCAAACUUGGUUGAGAUGUGCUUAAACCCGUUCCAUUACUCCGUAGUGCCGCCAACUCCGGGGAAUAAAUCUCCAGGUGCCGCCAGGAAAAGUCCGAUGAAACCCAGGAGUAAUAAAAGUGUAACACUGAGCAAGAAUCCUCUCAUGGAUUAUUUAAAGUCUCAGGGUCAGGGGGUUAAGGUUGAGGAAGAAAGUGAUUCAGAUUUUCUCUCUGAUUCAUCCGACUCGGAGGAUUGGGAGAACAAGUGGAGAUCGGAGUCAAUACUACCGGAGAAAUCUAAUCCUUCUCAGAAUGAUCCCGAGGAAUUGAUCAAGAAGAUUAGAUUCCUGGCCCUAAAGAGGAAAGAGGCAGAUUCGGAGAGGACAGAGGCUAUGAUGAAGAGGACAGAGGCUAUGGUGGAGAGGACAGAUGCUUCUCCUAAACUCCUGGAAAAACUACGGAUACUAGAGGAUCUAAGAUGUCUGUUUAAAGGAAAGAUUGAUCUCAGCUUUGCAACCAAAUCUAAUCAGAAUAAACCCAAAACCAAAACUAGGUCUGGACGGAGAUGUGUUGAUUAUAGUGUGGGACGAGGAACACUGAUAUCUCCCGCACUAACGUUUGCAAUCAGGAAAUAUCUGGCAAAACAACGUUUGAAGUAUGAACAAUCAAAUCCUGAUAAAUCCGCCAAAAGUAUCACUUCAAACAUAACUUCCAAUUCAAUACCUAAUCCUCAAAAUUUAUCCUUAAAUUUUGACACGCCGUUGCCUUCAAGAGAAAGGGUAAAGGUUGAAAACGAAAACGUAAAUAUGAGCACUGAUAUGAGAAGUAAUUUUGAAUACGAUGGUGGGAUGAUAAAUGAUGCAAGACAGGAGAAGGAUGAAAUGAUGGGAGAGGAUAUAAGGAUAAAAGAGGAGAGGAUGGAUGAGGAGGAUGAAGAGGAGUUUAUGGAGAAUGAAAACAAAGAUGAACUUCAUAUACAGGAUUUACUGGGAAGCAUCAAGGACUCUUUCGAGACAGAUUUGGACAUGGAGCUGGACACCUUCACCCACCAGGACCAGGAGGAAUUCAAUCACGAGGAGUUCCAGCAGUUUAGUAUUGCAAAUACAUUUUCUAUCUCAGGGUAUACAUCACCCAGCAUUCAGGACAAGGAUGAAAGCAGUCUGCCUGGUUCAGAUCUUGAUCUAGGAGAUCUAGGAGUACAAGGAGGUCUAGGACAGAGUUCUGAUGCUCUGCUGGUUGGAGCUGAGGAGGGUUCUCCGGGUAUACUGGAGAACAGGGAUACUCUACCUUGUAUAGUGAGUAGCUGGAGUGUAGAGGGAGGGGAGGAUAAUGAUAAUAGUUUUCUUAUGUUUGAUACAUAGCUCCCCCUUUCUCCAGAACAGAUUUAGAUUAAUUAUCACAAAAGGAUUGUUUUACCCUGAUAAGUUUAUGUUAAAAAACGCAUUUUGUUUUUUUGUCUGUUUUGUAGCGAUGAUAUUUUAUUGAUUUGCAUUAAACCACCGGCUGCUAAUUAAAGUUACACAAGUUUUCAAGAUUGGGUCGACUUUAAAGUGUUGCCACGCCUUGACCUUUAAUUUUACUUCACUAACUCAUAUAUACUUUUCGUAGCCCUAGACAAUAGACAUAUAUCAGCUGAUAACUGUGACGAAACAUACCUGACGAAACUUAUAUAAUUUCUGUAAACUUCGAGGGGCUAAGUUAUACGUUUAAAAACAAGUCUAUGCAUUUGAUUUUACUUUAAUUACAAGUUGUGAAUAUUUUUCGAAAUGUUUAAAUUUUCCGUAAUAUUUCAUAGUUUAUGUAAGUAAAUGUUUCAGAAAAA
This 3577-nucleotide unclassified non-coding RNA is filed under the name Eurytemora carolleeae. RNAcentral describes it as "uncharacterized LOC111694841". The record is from RNAcentral. Lineage: Eukaryota; Metazoa; Arthropoda; Copepoda; Calanoida; Temoridae.